This 89-nucleotide transfer RNA is filed under the name Hyphomicrobiales bacterium. RNAcentral describes it as "tRNA-Asn". It matches the Rfam family "tRNA". From Rfam's summary of the family: Transfer RNA (tRNA) molecules are approximately 80 nucleotides in length. Their secondary structure includes four short double-helical elements and three loops (D, anti-codon, and T loops). Further hydrogen bonds mediate the characteristic L-shaped molecular structure. tRNAs have two regions of fundamental functional importance: the anti-codon, which is responsible for specific mRNA codon recognition, and the 3' end, to which the tRNAs corresponding amino acid is attached (by aminoacyl-tRNA synthetases). tRNAs cope with the degeneracy of the genetic code in two manners: having more than one tRNA (with a specific anti-codon) for a particular amino acid; and 'wobble' base-pairing, i.e. permitting non-standard base-pairing at the 3rd anti-codon position. Lineage: Bacteria; Pseudomonadati; Pseudomonadota; Alphaproteobacteria; Hyphomicrobiales. The record is from RNAcentral.
GAGGAUGUUACCUAGUGGUUAAGGUGCCCGAUUGUUAAUCGGAGGCCCCGUUGGCGCGGGCGCGGGUUCGAAUCCCGUCAUCCUCGCCA